AUGCGCCUGGUGUGCAGACUCCCUGAAGCACCCUCCUCUCUUGCAGCCUCCACCACGGCCCCCUCGGUCUUCCCACUGGCCCCCAGCUGCGGGUCCCAAUCCGGCUCCACGGUGGCCCUGGCCUGCCUGGUGUCAGGCUACUUCCCCGAGCCUGUAACCGUGUCCUGGAAUUCCGGCUCCUUGACCAGCGGUGUGCACACCUUCCCGUCCGUCCUGCAGUCCUCAGGGCUCUACUCCCUCAGCAGCAUGGUGACAGUGCCCUCCAGCAGGUGGCCCAGCGAGACCUUCACCUGCAACGUGGCCCACCCGGCCAGCAACACUAAAGUAGACAAGCCAGUGGUCAAACAAUGCGAGUGCAAGUGUAACUGUAACAACUGCCCAUGCCCAGGUUGUGGCCUGCUGGGAGGGCCUUCGGUCUUCAUCUUUCCCCCGAAACCCAAGGACAUCCUCGUGACUGCCCGAACACCCACGGUCACUUGUGUGGUGGUGGAUCUGGACCCAGAAAACCCUGAGGUGCAGAUCAGCUGGUUCGUGGAUAGUAAGCAGGUGCACACAGCCAACACGCAGCCUCGUGAGGAGCAGUUCAACGGCACCUUCCGUGUGGUCAGCGUCCUCCCCAUCGUGCACCAGGACUGGCUUUCAGGGAAGCAGUUCAAGUGCAAAGUCAACAACAAAGCCCUCCCGUCCCCCAGUGAGAAGUUCAUCUCCAAGACCCCAGGGCAGGCCCAUCAGCCUAAUGUAUAUGUCCUGCCACCAUCGCGGGACGAGAUGAGCAAGAACACGGUCACCCUGACCUGCCUGGUCAAAGACUUCUUCCCACCUGAGAUUGAUGUGGAGUGGCAGAGCAAUGGACAGCAGGAGCCCGAGAGGAAGCACCGCAUGACCCCGCCCCAGCUGGACGAGGACGGGUCCUACUUCCUGUACAGCAAGCUCUCUGUGGACAAGAGCCGCUGGCAGCGGGGAGACGCCUUCGUAUGUGCGGUGAUGCACGAAGCUCUACACAACCACUACACACAGAAAUCCCUCUCCCAUUCUCCGGGUAAAUGAGCAACACGCCCGGCACCCAGCAAGCCCCCCACCUUGGCUCUCAGGAUCCCCUGAGGACGCCUGAGCCCCCGCCCCUGUGUACAUAACCCCGGGUAGGCACCCAUCAUGAAAUAAAGCACCCAGCACUGCCCUGGGAC
Molecule: non-coding RNA, 1184 nt
Organism: Nyctereutes procyonoides (raccoon dog)
Lineage: Eukaryota; Metazoa; Chordata; Mammalia; Carnivora; Canidae
Source: the annotation of a RefSeq genome assembly